This 641-nucleotide ribosomal RNA is filed under the name uncultured bacterium. RNAcentral describes it as "bacterial SSU rRNA". It matches the Rfam family "Bacterial small subunit ribosomal RNA", at positions 162 to 821 of the family's 1533-position model. The record is from RNAcentral.
GCUAAUACCGCAUAAUGCAGAGAGAUCGCAUGGUCUUUCUGCCAAAGAUUUAUCGCUGUGAAAUGGCCUCGCGUCUGAUUAGCUAGUUGGUGAGGUAACGGCCCACCAAGGCGACGAUCAGUAGCCGGACUGAGAGGUUGAUCGGCCACAUUGGGACUGAGACACGGCCCAGACUCCUACGGGAGGCAGCAGUGGGGAAUAUUGGGCAAUGGGCGCAAGCCUGACCCAGCAACGCCGCGUGAAGGAAGAAGGCUUUCGGGUUGUAAACUUCUUUUAUUAGGGACGAUAAUGACGGUACCUAUUGAAUAAGCUCCGGCUAACUACGUGCCAGCAGCCGCGGUAAUACGUAGGGAGCAAGCGUUAUCCGGAUUUACUGGGUGUAAAGGGCGUGUAGGCGGGACUGCAAGUCAGAUGUGAAAACUAUGGGCUCAACUCAUAGCCUGCAUUUGAAACUGUAGUUCUUGAGUGCUGGAGAGGCAAAUGGAACUCCUAGUGUAGCGGUGAAAUGCGUAGAUAUUAGGAAGAACACCAGUGGCGAAGGCGAUUUGCUGGACAGUAACUGACGCUGAGGCGCGAAAGUGUGGGGAGCAAACAGGAUUAGAUACCCUGGUAGUCCACACCGUAAACGAUGAUUACUAGGU